RNAcentral lists this ribosomal RNA (496 nucleotides) under uncultured bacterium. RNAcentral describes it as "partial 16S ribosomal RNA". It matches the Rfam family "Bacterial small subunit ribosomal RNA", at positions 28 to 506 of the family's 1533-position model. The record is from RNAcentral.
GAUGAACGCUGGCGGCGUGCCUAAUACAUGCAAGUCGAGCGAACAGACGAGGAGCUUGCUCCUCUGACGUUAGCGGCGGACGGGUGAGUAACACGUGGAUAACCUACCUAUAAGACUGGGAUAACUUCGGGAAACCGGAGCUAAUACCGGAUAAUAUAUUGAACCGCAUGGUUCAAUAGUGAAAGACGGUUUUGCUGUCACUUAUAGAUGGAUCCGCGCCGCAUUAGCUAGUUGGCAAGGUAACGGCUUACCAAGGCAACGAUGCGUAGCCGACCUGGGAGGUGGAUCGGCCACAUGGGAACGGAAACACGGUCCGAACCCUAACGGGGGGAAGCAGUGGGAAAUCUUCCGAAAGGGGGGAAAGCUUGACGGGGCAACGCCGCGGGGGUAAGAAAGUUUUUCGGUUCGUAAACCUCUUUUUUUGGGAAAAAAAAAAUGUGUAAAUAACAAAGCCCGUCUGGCGGGAACCAAAUAAGAAAGCCCCGGCAACCUACGG